Long non-coding RNA from Physeter macrocephalus (sperm whale), 6377 nucleotides. RefSeq lists it as uncharacterized. The record is from RefSeq and is a predicted model, not a curated record. Lineage: Eukaryota; Metazoa; Chordata; Mammalia; Artiodactyla; Physeteridae. The transcript is spliced from 3 exons.
GCUCCGCGGCAUGUGGGAUCUUCCCGGAUCGGGGCACGAAUCCGUGUCACCUGCAUCGGCAGGCGGACUCUGAACCACUGCGCCACCAGGGAAGCCCCGAUAAUAGGUGAUUUUUGAAUUGUCUUUCAAUUUUUAGAUGGCAGCCAUACAUAUUUUUUUUCUUAAAAACGUAUGGGGGUCAGGGGGCCGAUGACAGCUGCUGCCCAUCGGUGACUAGUUUGCAGCUUGGUAGCUUCAGGAAGCCUCCUUUGGCAUCAUGACUGGCUUUGGGUUUCUGAACCUUUUGUAUCCGCAAUUGUGAGAAAUAAGGACCUGGACCUAAAACCUCCUCGACGAGCCUUUUAUCAAGAUUUAAAAUACUCCCACUGGUCAAAAAGCAGAGAACCAAGGUUUGAAAUUAGCAUUUUACGUAGUCUAACUACGUCACAAACAUAAGUGGAAAAACAUCGAUGAGGUGGUCAAAUACCAAAAAAUUCUAAAAACUUCUCCGUUUUUCCCAUAAAACGUGGCUUAGAGGGCCCAAUUUAUUAAUUUUAUGUGACAGCUUUCUACCAACACUCAUGGUAGUUAAUGUGCAUGUGUUAUAGUUUGUAAUGUUUUCAUAUAAAUGAACCUCAUAGUAAGCCUGGUUUUCUCCUCCAGUUUACAGCUGAGCAAAUAGGCUGAAGGAAGUAAUUUCUCCCAGCAUCAGAGAGCCAGCAUGAGGAGAGCUGGGGUCAGAAUUUGGUUUUCCAGCUGCAGUGUCCAGUGCUCAUUUCUCCUAUACCAUAUGGCCACAUUAAAAAGAAAUGUGUUGGGUUCCUAUUUUAUUUUCACUUCCAAACUGAUACUCUGAAGCUAACACAGAGACUCUGAUUUUGUAUUAAAAAAUACAUAUGCAUAGGAAUAAAUAUAGAGAAUAUUCAUCAAAAUAUUAAUAGGCAAGUUAUUACCUCUGCAGGGUGGAAUGACAAGGCAAGUCCACUUUGGUAUCCUGAAUUUCUUUUGCAAUGGGCAUAUUCUUUUUCAGGAAAAGAAAGGAAAAACUGGACUUCCUUCACCUCAGAACUGUAUUGUUUACUCAUCAUGAGGCAAUUUACUCACGUGGACCUUUAUCUGCAGUCUUAAGCGUCUUCAGCUUCCCCAUCUAGCACUGGGAGUGAAGAGCAUUUCUUGUUUCUUUUAGCAUCUCUUACCUGUUAUCCUCACCUACUGAUUUUAGGCUGGUGGGGCUAAAAUGGUAAAACAAAAAGCCGGGAAGAGGGGAAUGGAGAGUGUUAUGUGGCUUUUGGCUCUCUUCUAGGCCAACACUCAAGCUAAGCCUCGACUGAAAAGCCGUGGUUGCUGUGUGUGAUCACAUCAGAGUCCAGGUGGGUUUUAUAGGUGGGAGUUGAGGGAAGGAGUUAUUUUCAGAAGCUGACAUUUUAAUCCUACUUCUUCCCCUCUAGCAUGAACUGCAAUGCGAUAACUGGCUGAAAACAGAGCGCUACUAAUUUUUAAAUGGACACAGGGAACACACUCUACCAAAACUGCUCUUGUCAAGGUCACCAUUCAGCAAGCCUGGGAUCCUCUCUCAGCAAAUGCGGCUGCCUCUGCAGUUUAUUCCACCACUCCCCAGCGUCCCUGCAGCUCAGGGCCAUGGUGACACUUAAAAGGUAAGUAAGUCCAGUUGGGCCAUUCGUCUGCUGAAAACCUCCAGCGACUUUCUUCCCCUCGAUACUUGGUCGCUCUCUCCUUUUUCUGUAAGUAAGUAUCACGGUACUAGAGAGGCCUUCUAUGACACCCUAUAGCAGAGAGCUCUCAUGCCCUAUCAAUCAAUCAAUCAAUCAAUCACCUUUAUCUGGUUUUGUAUGUCUUCCUUCCUAGCACUUCUCCCCCUCUGACUCACUAAGUAUAAUUGGGAAAAAAGAUUCCCUUUGCCAAUAGAGCUAAACUCUUCAGUGAGACUGGCUUUUUGGCAGAUUCUAGAAUCUAGGGUUAUGGUAGCCUCCAAAAAAAGAAGUAACUUCGUAUCUUCUGUAGAUACUCGUUUCUGAGGGAAAGCUUACGAUACACUGCAUUUCUCGUCUGUCUUCUAUGUACUAAGCACUGUGUUUAAUUAUACACAGCAUGUUCUCUUCUUCGUACAAUUCAGAAGGCUUAAAGGUAACAUUUUGACGCGCAGUAGUUGAGAAGAUGGUCUCCAGUGUAUUGCAGGUGUCUUACCUACCAGAAUUAACGUGACCCUACAAGUGUCUAUUCAUAUGAAGCGUAGGUGUCAAAGAAUGAAGCCAUUCACAGCUAUAGAAGUGCUCAGGAAAAAACCUGAAGGGGUCAGAAAAAUUUAAGGAGGAAAAUAAUGAGCUUUACACUGAGGGGGAAACCUGAUGAAACCAUCCAGUUUCCUUCUACUUAACCUUUCCGGAGCAGGGAACUCUUAAGGAUUUUCAAAAUCCUUCAGAGCACAGAGGGAAGGAAAGCUUUCAAAUUAUUUUUAAAAUGGAAUAACGUGCCACCAUAAAUUCGGAUUAGGAAUGUGAAAAAAGGCAUUUGUGAGUAUAUCCCGUCACAACCCCAAACCCCCUCAUUUCAGACAGUUAGUUCCUUAAACAACACAGUCACACACCCGGCUCCACAGCAGCGAAACCCUCCAUCCAGGUCUACCACCGUAUGAGACGGAGAAGGAAGGAAAUGCUCAGAAAUGCACUGGAGCUACAUGAAGACACCUUUCCAAUGCUGCCAAAGAGAAUAAACGGAAAGCUGACUCCUUUAAAACAAUCCAUUUAUAAUAUUUAAAUUAUGUUAAAUUUGGAGAUUAAUUAGGCGGAGUCCUCCUAAUUUAAGAAAGAUCCGAUUCCAAAUAAAUAAAAAUUAUGUGACAGAUUACGGUCACAGAUACUAAAACAUCUUGAUCCUAGCACAUAAGCACCAACAGGAAAGCAACUCCAAAUCUUAAGAACCAAACAAAUCUCGAACGAAAAUGCCAUUUCAAGUCAGUGGGGAAACGUGGGGAAACAUUGGCUUAUGGAGUGGUGUUGAGGCAGCCUAAUUAUCACAAAUCCCAGAAACCAUGUAAGGAAAAAACGAUAAACUCGAUUAUGUAAAGAGAAUUUCUACAUUGCAAAAUACUACCAAAAGCAAGUCCAAAACCAAAUGAAAAUGUGGCUAAAAGAUGAUGUCUGCAGUAUGUCGCUGCCACUGGUCAGUCAGUGGUGAAAGCCCCACUGUUCCUUUUCAAUAAGGAAACGUUCAAUUUUGGAAAAUCUGGUGAUGGGCUUGAAAGAUGAGGAAGUAAUGCCAGUGAAGAUUUUAAGCUGGAGGUUAUCUUAAAACUAGCAAGAACUAUGUAACAAUGUUUAUAGUAUAGAGCAUGCUCUAUUGCUAUACUCAUUAAAAAUUCAACUGCUGGUUUUUGAGUUAUGUUACCGAGUGGCUUUAGGUAAAAAUCUUAAUAAAAAAGAUCAGCACUGUUUCUAAACUCCCUUGUGUUCAUUUUCCAGCAAUUUACAUAGCUGCAUCUCCAGACUGCAGCUGUGAAACCCACUGGCCCCUAUUAUUCUGGGACUGAGGUACACAGAGAAACUACCCAACCAGAUAUAACCAGCCUUGUGAGUCCUCCCCAGAUCCAAAGAACAGCAGGCGAAACCUCUAAAGAAGAAUCUUGAUGUUAGGAUUUUAGGAACAAGAUGUAGAGAACAGCACUAGACGUACAAGCAAACUCAGGAACGCCCUCUGCCAAGGUGUAAGACCUCCCAGUCAACUGCUGGCACCCAGGCUGACAAUUCCACUGCUUCUUCCCGUGCCCACCAUCACCAGACUAGUUCGGCCCUUCAGUUACACACACACACCCCGCCCGAUGAUCAGAAGAGACUCUAAACAACUUUAAGACGGCCCUUCUUCAGAUCCAGCCUAGUACCUUCCCGUGCUUCGCUCUGGACCUUCCUGCGCCCACCACCACACACGUUCCAUCCAGCGCACCUAGGCUGCUGGUUUCUCAACCAUGCUCCUAAAUCUCUCUCUGCUAUUUCCUCCAUCUGGAAUGUCCUCUUCCCCACCACUUGCUAUAGAAAUCCUAAAUAUGCAAUGACAACCAGUCUCGGUGCCCCCCGGGAAGCCCAUUUUGGGGGUUCUUCGGUCACAUAUUCUGACUCCUAGUUAUGCUCAUUCUGAACUAUGUGCACCAAGAGUAAUCUAAGCAGCUUAGAACCUCCUUUCUGGUUACAACACCAAAGUUUAACUACUUAAUGCCCUAAAUCUGUGUUCAUAGUCCCUAGAUCCAAAUGACGUUUUUGUCGCCUCCCCGUGUGCUAAUCAAUCAAUCAGACAUACCCCAAGAUGACUCAUCUUCCCCAAACAAACCACCUACCAACAAAAUGGGAGAAUACAACCCAUGGGGAUGGUUUCUAACCUUACAUGUCAAUAGAAGGCCCGGUUUAUUCAAAUAAUGGCCUGGUCCCCUUCUCCGACAAUAUCAUUAAGUCUAAGGAAGUGGAAGAAGACCAGAAUCUGUGAAAACCCAGGUGUGACUCACAUAUCACAGAAAUUUCAAACAAGACCUUUCUGGUAACAACAGCAGCAGCUCGGUAUGUACUGACCACCUCUGUCCCUAAAGCUGGUGUGAGACCUUGAAGGGAACCACUGAACAAAUACUACCAGAAAUGUACCACAUACCAUCAAUUCAGAUGCCAUGGUAAUGACUUGCAGAACACUGUGGUGUGUCUAACUGGUACUCCCUGCUUCCGUGCAUCUUAUCCACAGCUUCAACUGAGCCUCGCACUGCUCCCAACCAGUGGACACGGAUUCAUCACCACCACAGCACAGUGAAGAAACUAAAGGGUAGGAAGCCAGACCAGCCCCCGCUUUUCGUGCACUGCCCACCACAGAAGCCACUCCUUACGCUGCCGCGUGAGAAGCACGUUUAUAACGCCCCCAGCCCCACCCCCACCCCACUAACCAGCUGCUCUUGGGCAGUGGUUACCAGACUUAAUUUCACACACGAGUUCAACUCAGAAGUGAAACAAAAACCAAACCAACCUAGGGAAUGCAGCCUUCUAUUUUGGCAUGGAUAACCAACAAAAACCACUAUCACUGCCUCUUUCUCUUUCACAGGAAGAGAAGGAAGAAAUUUCUGGCUCCAUAGUUUCGGUACACUUAAGAUCUGUGCAUUUACUGAAUGUAAAGAUUACUCAAAACCAACCCGCCCACCCAUAAACAAACACUGAUAUGCAUGCUAAGGUGACUGGGGGUGAAAUGUACUGGUGUCUGACACUUCCUUUCAAGCAGUUAAAAAUCAGAUGAAGGUGAUAAAAACAAAUAUAACAAAAUGUUACUAACUUACAGAAUCAAGGAUCUAUGGGAAUUUACGGUGUAACUCUUCACAAUUUUCUGCAUGUUUGCAAUUUUUCAUACCAAAAUAUUAGAAAAAACCCAAAAUGGCUAAAAAGAGUGUGGUCAUUUAAAAUGAAAUGCAGCUUCGGUAAAAGCUGCUUUUUUCACCGUGAGCCACUGCAAACUACAUCUUCAAAGUUAAAAGGCCGAUGUUUGGGAACCACUUAUAUGUCUAGAUACCAUCUGGACAGCUCACACUCUGAACGUCUACUUCUCUCCAACUCUACUCCCAUCUCCUCCAUGAGCUACUGAACAGACCACCUGGUCUCCCCAUGCAGCGUGUGUUAAGACAGCGCAUGGAACCGUGUUACCCACUGGAGGCUUAAAAUGCUCCAGUGGCUCCCCACAGUGCCUGUAUUAAAACCCAAGUUCUCCACCAGGCCCUACACAGCCGUACACCACCUGACUCUCCCACGGCUACCCCCCCCCCCCACCUCCACUACUAUGCUGCAGCUACGCAUCUUUCUGUGCCACUGUAUUAUCUCUGUUGACUCACUUCUAUCUGAAAUGACUUACACGUUUAUUUGCUUACUUGCCAACUCUCCCCAUAACUAGAAUGAAACUCCAUGAAGACAGAGACCUGAAACAAUGCCAACCCAUUCAGUGAAGGCUUUAAUACGUAUUUGGUGAAUCUCUGAUUCAAGCGCUGAAAGUUCCAUUUUUAACAACCAGUUUGCCCAGGAUUGCAGUAGCAAGCAAAAAAUUGAAGGCAUUAGCAGGGGAAAUAGCUCUCUAUCUUAUACUUCUCACUCGGUCCUAAGAGUCACUACCGUAGUAGCAGUGUGGCUCCCAAAGAUGUAACAGAGACGACUUCUGCUCCAGUUCUUAUUAAAAGUAGACUUUGUCCCAUCUUUGCUACUGCGGUAGAAACACAUCAGGAAAGCAGAGGUAACAGAUGAUUGUUUUGAUAUUGAAAGAAAAAUUCUUAGAUCUUGUUUUUAUAACUGAGGGAAGCAAUGUAAAUGGAGAAAAUAUACAAGUUCACACAUGCAAAGGUAACUGUAAAAAAUAAAUUGACAUGAUGUUAUUUA